This is a long non-coding RNA of Vidua macroura (Pin-tailed whydah), 1461 nucleotides long. RefSeq lists it as uncharacterized. The transcript is spliced from 2 exons. NCBI's taxonomy places the organism in Eukaryota, Metazoa, Chordata, Aves, Passeriformes, Viduidae. The record is from RefSeq and is a predicted model, not a curated record.
GCCCGGUGGGAAGAGGCGGGGGAAGCGCAGCGAGCCGGCAGCGGCCGCCCGGGAAUCGCUUCACUCAGCGCUGGCUGCCUGUAGGAAAACGCUGCUCCGUCCUCUGGCAGAGAUAGGCAGGCACUGCCCCCUCUCUCUCUCUCCGUCUCCUUCUCCCUCUUCCUCUUUUCCGCUGCUCCUUCCCGGGGGCACUGAAGCAUUUUCUCACAGGCCCUCCCCAGCCCAGCCCAGCCCAGCCCAGCCCUCCUUUCUGCAUGGCAGCUUUCAUGUGUCCGCCUGUAAAGGUUUGCCGAUUCUCCUAGCACUGGCCAAAGGAAACAUUACUUUGUAAUCUAAAAAUGAGCAGGUAUGAAAGAGCAGCCAUUCUAGAGGGACCUUACUUGGCUUGACGUGUGAACCUCAUGACGUUCAACAAGGCCCUGCUUGUGGCUCAGGGCAGUCCUAAGCACAAGUACAGGCUGGGUGAAAAAUGGGUUGAGGGCAGCCCUGAGGAGGACUUGGGGGUGUUGGUGAAUGAAAAGCUUCACAUGACCUGGCAAUGUGCACUUGCAGCCCAGAAAGCCAAACAUGUCCUGGACUGUGUCAAAAGCAGCAAGGCCAGGGAGAGGAUUCUUCCCCUCUACUCCACCCCCCACCUGGAGUACUGCAUCCAGCUCUGGAGCCCCCCACAUAAGGCAGCCAUGGACCUGUUGGAGUGAGUUCAGAGAAGGGCCACAAAGAAGAUCAGAGAAAUGGAGCCUCUCUUCUGUGAAGACACGGGGCGAGGCACCAUGCUGUGAAUAUGGCUCCAACAAAGGGAGGCAGAAACUACUCUCAAAUCACGGAGCCGCUUUAUCUUUUCUCCAACCUGUGAACCUGCCGAACCAAUUUCAGGAGACAUCAGCUUCCGCCAAGGAUAUAAUCAUGGGUAACUGCCUCAGUGCAGAGUAGCUUAGGAGUUGGAGAGCUGUACAUGUUUUCUGCUUUCUGUGCAUGCAGCAAGGCAGGACGGGCAGAUUGACAGGUGCUUUCUGUCUGAAACCACCCCAGUUUGGGUGGAGCAGGCUUCAAUGGUUUCAGCUGGGGGAUUCACUCUGUCACAAAGCCAGUGGAAGCAAAUUAAGCUGCCUGGAGUUGCUACAAAUAGAUAUUAAUCUCUGCCUCGAUUAUGAUUAACUCCUUAAUGCCAUGCUGCCUUACCAAACAUUUUGUUAAUCAGCCAUAAACAUGGGUCUCUAACAGCUCACUGCCCCUCCUGCAAGCACUCAAGCAGUGACUCUUCUUCCCAAGUCAAUGGCUUUUGUUGCCAUAGGGACUUGACAGAAGUAGUACCAUCUCCUUGCCUCAGGACUAGCAGAGAGCUCCAGUCAGAAGCAGUAGCUAAAGAAGACACCUGCUUCAGGAGAAAGGAUGUAUCCAAUAGAGAUGGAGAUCUCCAUCACAGUUCUUAAAGUGCUUUUAGAAUAAAGGCAGUGCCUGACA